UGGCAAGACGGAUGUGGCAAGCUGGAGU
This 28-nucleotide non-coding RNA is filed under the name Mus musculus (house mouse). The record is from RNAcentral. Lineage: Eukaryota; Metazoa; Chordata; Mammalia; Rodentia; Muridae.